CAAGAAAAAACCUUGACCUCAAAUCGGGUGAGACUACCCGCUGAACUUAAGCAUAUCAAUAAGCGGAGGAAAAGAAACUAACAAGGAUUCCCCUAGUAACUGCGAGUGAAGCGGGAAAAGCUCAAAUUUAAAAUCUGGUGGUCUUUGGCCAUCCGAGUUGUAAUUUAGAGAAGCGUUUUCCGCGCUGGGCCAUGCACAAGUCUCCUGGAAUGGAGCGUCAUAGAGGGUGAGAAUCCCGUCUUUGGCAUGGAUAUAACCAGUGCUUUUGUGAUGCGCUCUCGAAGAGUCGAGUUGUUUGGGAAUGCAGCUCAAAAUGGGUGGUGAACUCCAUCUAAAGCUAAAUAUUGGCGAGAGACCGAUAGCGAACAAGUACCGUGAGGGAAAGAUGAAAAGCACUUUGGAAAGAGAGUGAAACAGUACGUGAAAUUGUUGAAAGGGAAACGCUUAAAGUCAGUCGCGUUGUCCAAGACUCAGCCUUGCUUUGGCUUGGUGUAUUUCUUGGUUGACGGGUCAGCAUCGACUUUGACCCUUGGAUAAUGGUAAGGGAAAUGUGACACCUUUUAGGUGUGUUAUAGUCUCUUGUCACAUGUGAGGGUUAGGAUUGAGGAACUCAGCAUGCACCCUUUGGGUGUCGGGGCUUUUGUCCACGAUACAUGCUUAGGAUGUUGGCGAAUGC
RNAcentral lists this ribosomal RNA (676 nucleotides) under uncultured Russulales. RNAcentral's name for it is "eukaryotic LSU rRNA". It matches the Rfam family "Eukaryotic large subunit ribosomal RNA", at positions 1 to 637 of the family's 3401-position model. Lineage: Eukaryota; Fungi; Basidiomycota; Agaricomycetes; Agaricales. The record is from RNAcentral.